Molecule: ribosomal RNA, 330 nt
Filed under: uncultured eukaryote
Lineage: Eukaryota
Description: partial 18S ribosomal RNA
Rfam family: Eukaryotic small subunit ribosomal RNA
Source: RNAcentral
CCCUUAGAUGUUCUGGGCCGCACGCGCGCUACACUGAUGCAUUCAACGAGUCUAAAACCUGGUCUGAUAGGGCUGGGUAAUCUUUUGAAUGUGCAUCGUGAUUGGGGUAGAUGAUUGCAAUUCUUCAUCUUCAACGAGGAAUGCCUAGUAAACGCAAGUCAUCAGCUUGCAUUGAUUACGUCCCUGCCCUUUGUACACACCGCCCGUCGCUCCUACCGAUUGAAUGUUCCGAUGAAUACCAUGGACUGAGAGUAUGAAUGGGUUCGCCUAUUUCUGCUUCUCGGGAAGUGGAGUAAAUCUUAACAUUUAGAGGAAGGAGAAGUCGUAACA